This 24-nucleotide microRNA is filed under the name Brachypodium distachyon (stiff brome). Its description in RNAcentral is "bdi-miR7756-3p". The record is from miRBase by way of RNAcentral. Lineage: Eukaryota; Viridiplantae; Streptophyta; Magnoliopsida; Poales; Poaceae.
UGGAGAUGUUGGCAUUGAAUUGGC